RNAcentral lists this ribosomal RNA (497 nucleotides) under uncultured bacterium. Its description in RNAcentral is "partial 16S ribosomal RNA". It matches the Rfam family "Bacterial small subunit ribosomal RNA", at positions 28 to 507 of the family's 1533-position model. The record is from RNAcentral.
GAUGAACGCUGGCGGCGUGCCUAAUACAUGCAAGUCGAGCGAACAGAUAAGGAGCUUGCUCCUUUGACGUUAGCGGCGGACGGGUGAGUAACACGUGGAUAACCUACCUAUAAGACUGGGAUAACUUCGGGAAACCGGAGCUAAUACCGGAUAACAUAUUGAACCGCAUGGUUCAAUAGUGAAAGGCGGCUUUGCUGUCACUUAUAGAUGGAUCCGCGCCGUAUUAGCUAGUUGGUAAGGUAACGGCUUACCAAGGCAACGAUACGUAGCCGACCUGAGAGGGUGAUCAGCCACACUGGAACUGAGACACGGUCCAGACUCCUACGGGAGGCAGCAGUGGGGAAUAUUGCGCAAUGGGCGAAAGCCUGACGGAGCAACGCCGCGUGAGUGAUGAAGGUCUUCGGAUCGUAAAGCUCUGUUAGCAGGGAAGAACAAAUGUGUAAGUAACUGUGCACAUCUUGACGGUACCUGAUCAGAAAGCCACGGCUAACUACGUG